UCUCUCUCUCUCUCUCUCUCUCUCUCUCUCUCUCAAAAAACAAUGAGGGAAAUCAGAAACAGAGAGGGAAACGGAUGCCGCGCCGAAAACAUUCGGCCGGCGUCCUUCCAUCCCAGACUCGACAAACGUAGCUUUUGCGCCGUCACGGUGUUUACGAUUAAUUUAAUAUUCCCGUCUGGAGUUGUUCUGCAGUUGUCUGGAGUUCCCGCCCUCCCCCGCCUCGGCGGUGCUGGGGAGCGUCAGGGAGCCCAAGGUCUCCCUGGCGAGCGUCGCGGGGCUCAGGGGUUCCGGCAGGGCGUCUCGGCUCCCUCGGGGCGUCCAUGGCGGUGCCGUAGAUCCCGAGUGUCCAGGGGCGGGGGGAGGGGAGGGCGUUUGGUGUUGUGUGUUGGUAUGGGCGGGUCUUUUCUGGGGUGAAGGAGAUUCAUUCGUAUCAGCACACGGCACCAAGGAAAGGCGAUUUCAGAACAACUCCACGACAGGGAUAUUACAGGUGAAAAACACCGAAAACAAGGAAAAUACACCAGAAGAACAUCAGAAACUGGACAAUCCAGGAGAGGAAUUCCAGGAAAUAGACAAGAUAGAAGCACAGAUGAGAAAAAGGAAAAAAUAAAACAAAAACACAAAAAUCCAGCAAGAAGGCCUUUGGUGUGGUAUAUUGGUAUGGCUGAGCCUUCUUUGGGGUGAAGGAGACUCCGCUGUAGCAAGAUACGGCACCAGGUAGAGGCGAUGUAGAUACUCUACACAACACUGUCACACGACAAAUAAAGAAAAAUAACACCGGAGACAGGAUAAUACAGAAAAGGAAUGCCAGAAAAAAGAAAUCAGAUACAAAACACAACAUUAGCAAAACGAACAACUAGGAUUAAGGACUUUGGUGUGGUAUGUUGGUACGGGCGAGGCUUCUCAGGGGUGAAGGAGACUCGUCUGUAGCAGGAUACGGCACCAAGAAAAGCCGAUAUACAGUAGAAACAACACCAGAAAAAGGAAAAUGAAGAAAGAGAAAACCAGCACAAGGAAAAUACAGAAAAAAGAACACCAGAAAAAGAAUUGCUGACCCUGACUUAACUGUCGGGGUGGGAUGCUGACCCUGACUUAAUUGUCGGGGUGGGAUGCUGACCCCAGCUUGAAUGUUGGGGUGGGAUGCUGACCCUGACUUAACUGUCGGGGUGGGAUGCUGACCCCAGCUUGAAUGUUGGGGUGGGAUGCUGACCCUGACUUAACUGUCGGGGUGGGAUGCUGACCCUGACGUAAAUGUCGGGGUGGGAUGCUGACCCUGACGUAGAUGUCGGGGUGGGAUGCUGACCCUGACGUAAAUGUCGGGGUGGGAUACUGACCUUUAAAGGAAGGAAAAUUAGUUGUUGCGAUGUCUUAUUUUAUCGACAAAGGAAUCGACGUUUUGGAAACAAAGAAAGGAAAAUAUGGUUUUGAGUUCGUUUAGUUUUAUCGACAAAGGAAUCGACGUUUUGGAAACAAAGAAAGGAAAAUAUGGUUUUGAGUUCGUUUAGUUUUAUCGACAAAGGAAUCGACGUUUUGGAAACAAAGAAAGGAAAAUAUGUUUUUGAGUUGGUUUAGUUUUAUCGACAAAGGAAUCAACAUUUUGGAAACAAAGAAAGGAAAAUAUGUUUUUGAGUUGGUUUAGUUU
Molecule: long non-coding RNA, 1642 nt
Organism: Eriocheir sinensis (Chinese mitten crab)
Lineage: Eukaryota; Metazoa; Arthropoda; Malacostraca; Decapoda; Varunidae
Exons: 2
Source: RefSeq, a predicted model, not a curated record